This 332-nucleotide ribosomal RNA is filed under the name uncultured eukaryote. Its description in RNAcentral is "partial 18S ribosomal RNA". It matches the Rfam family "Eukaryotic small subunit ribosomal RNA", at positions 1470 to 1796 of the family's 1831-position model. The record is from RNAcentral.
CCCUUAGAUGUUCUGGGCUGCACGCGCGCUACACUGUCGGAUUCAGCGAGUCAUAUCCUUAACCGAAAGGUUUGGGCAAUCUUUUGAAAGUCCGACGUGAUGGGGAUUGAUCAUUGCAAUUAUUGAUCAUGAACGAGGAAUUCCUAGUAAGCGCGAGUCAUCAGCUCGCGUUGAUUACGUCCCUGCCCUUUGUACACACCGCCCGUCGCUACUACCGAUUGAAUGGUUUAGUGAGAUCUUCGGAUUGGCGCCUACGCGGCUUCUCUGAGGCCACGCUGGAUGCCGAAAAGUUGCUCAAACUGUAUCAUUUAGAGGAAGUAAAAGUCGUAACA